This 492-nucleotide ribosomal RNA is filed under the name uncultured bacterium. RNAcentral's name for it is "partial 16S ribosomal RNA". It matches the Rfam family "Bacterial small subunit ribosomal RNA", at positions 29 to 507 of the family's 1533-position model. The record is from RNAcentral.
AGUGAACGCUGGCGGUAGGCCUAACACAUGCAAGUCGAGCGGCAGCACAGUAAGAUCUUGCUCUUACGGGUGGCGAGUGGCGGACGGGUGAGGAAUACAUCGGAAUCUACUUUUUCGUGGGGGAUAACGUAGGGAAACUUACGCUAAUACCGCAUACGACCUACGGUUGAAAGCAUUGGAUCUUCGGACCUUGCGCGAUUGAAUGAGCCGAUGUCGGAUUAGCUAGUUGGCGGGGUAAAUGCCCACCAAGGCGACGAUCCGUAGCUGGUCUGAGAGGAUGAUCAGCCACCCUGGAACUGAGACACGGUCCAGACUCCUACGGGAGGCAGCAGUGGGGAAUAUUGGACAAUAGGCGCAAGCAUGAUCCAGCCAUACCGCGUGGGUGAAGAAGGCCUUCGGGUUGUAAAGCCCUUUUGUUGGGAAAGAAAAGCAGCAGGUUAAUACCCCGCUGUUCUGACGGUACCCAAAGAAUAAGCACCGGCUAACUUCGUG